AGAGUUUGAUCCUGGCUCAGGAUGAACGCUGGCGGCGUGCUUAACACAUGCAAGUCGAACGAUUGAAGCUGGAGCUUGCUCCGGCCGAUUUAGUGGCGGACGGGUGAGUAACGCGUGGGUAACCUGCCUCAUACAGGGGGAUAGCAGUUGGAAACGACUGGUAAAACCGCAUAAGCGCACGGUAUCGCAUGAUACAGUGUGAAAACACUCCGGUGGUAUGAGAUGGACCCGCGUCUGAUUAGCUAGUUGGUGAGGUAACGGCCCACCAAGGCGACGAUCAGUAGCCGGCCUGAGAGGGUGAACGGCCACAUUGGGACUGAGACACGGCCCAAACUCCUACGGGAGGCAGCAGUGGGGAAUAUUGCACAAUGGGGGAAACCCUGAUGCAGCGACGCCGCGUGAGUGAUGAAGUAUUUCGGUAUGUAAAGCUCUAUCAGCAGGGAAGAAAAUGACGGUACCUGACUAAGAAGCACCGGCUAAAUACGUGCCAGCAGCCGCGGUAAUACGUAUGGUGCAAGCGUUAUCCGGAUUUACUGGGUGUAAAGGGAGCGUAGACGGAGUGGCAAGUCUGAUGUGAAAACCCGGGGCUCAACCCCGGGACUGCAUUGGAAACUGUCAAUCUAGAGUACCGGAGAGGUAAGCGGAAUUCCUAGUGUAGCGGUGAAAUGCGUAGAUAUUAGGAGGAACACCAGUGGCGAAGGCGGCUUACUGGACGGUAACUGACGUUGAGGCUCGAAAGCGUGGGGAGCAAACAGGAUUAGAUACCCUGGUAGUCCACGCCGUAAACGAUGACUACUAGGUGUUGGGCAGCAAAGCUGUUCGGUGCCGCAGCAAACGCAAUAAGUAGUCCACCUGGGGAGUACGUUCGCAAGAAUGAAACUCAAAGGAAUUGACGGGGACCCGCACAAGCGGUGGAGCAUGUGGUUUAAUUCGACGCAACGCGAAAAACCUUACCAGGCCUUGACAUACCGAUGACGUCUUUAGAGAUAGAGAGUUACCUUCGGGUACAUCGGAUACAGGUGGUGCAUGGUUGUCGUCAGCUCGUGUCGUGAGAUGUUGGGUUAAGUCCCGCAACGAGCGCAACCCUUAUCAUUAGUUGCUAACAGUCAGAUGAGCACUCUAAUGAGACUGCCAGCGAAAAGUUGGAGGAAGGUGGGGAUGACGUCAAAUCAUCAUGCCCCUUAUGGCCUGGGCUACACACGUGCUACAAUGGCUGGUACAAAGAGGAGCAAAGCUGUGAAGUGGAGCAAAUCCCAAAAAUAACGUCUCAGUUCGGACUGUAGUCUGCAACCCGACUACACGAAGCUGGAAUCGCUAGUAAUCGCAGAUCAGAAUGCUGCGGUGAAUACGUUCCCGGGUCUUGUACUCACCGCCCGUCA
RNAcentral lists this ribosomal RNA (1379 nucleotides) under uncultured bacterium. RNAcentral describes it as "16S ribosomal RNA". It matches the Rfam family "Bacterial small subunit ribosomal RNA". The record is from RNAcentral.